AACAGGAUUAGAUACCCUGGUAGUCCAUGCCGUAAACGAUGAGUGCUAAGUGUUGGAGGGUUUCCGCCCUUCAGUGCUGCAGCUAACGCAUUAAGCACUCCGCCUGGGGAGUACGACCGCAAGGUUGAAACUCAAAGGAAUUGACGGGGGCCCGCACAAGCGGUGGAGCAUGUGGUUUAAUUCGAUGCUACGCGAAGAACCUUACCAGGUCUUGACAUCUUCUGCUAACCUAAGAGAUUAGGCGUUCCCUUCGGGGACGGAAUGACAGGUGGUGCAUGGUUGUCGUCAGCUCGUGUCGUGAGAUGUUGGGUCAAGUCCCGCAACGAGCGCAACCCUUAUUGUCAGUUGCCAGCAUUUAGUUGGGCACUCUGGCGAGACUGCCGGUGACAAACCGGAGGAAGGUGGGGAUGACGUCAAAUCAUCAUGCCCCUUAUGACCUGGGCUACACACGUGCUACAAUGGACGGUACAACGAGUCGCGAAACCGCGAGGUCAAGCUAAUCUCUUAAAGCCGUUCUCAGUUCGGAUUGCAGGCUGCAACUCGCCUGCAUGAAGUUGGAAUCGCUAGUAAUCGUGGAUCAGCAUGCCACGGUGAAUACGUUCCCGGGCCUUGUACACACCGCCCGUCACACCAUGAGAGUUUGUAACACCCAAAGCCGGUGAGGUAACCUUCGGGAACCAGCCGUCUAAGGUGGGACAGAUGAUUAGGGUGAAGUCGUAACAAGGUAACC
Molecule: ribosomal RNA, 730 nt
Filed under: uncultured Lactobacillus sp.
Lineage: Bacteria; Bacillati; Bacillota; Bacilli; Lactobacillales; Lactobacillaceae
Description: bacterial SSU rRNA
Rfam family: Bacterial small subunit ribosomal RNA
Source: RNAcentral